UCUCUCUCUCUCUCUCUCUCGGUAUUCGAUUACUUUGGAAAUGCUUUAGAAUUCGAGAGAAGAAUGGUGGGUUGUAUUAUGAUUAUUGUGGGUUUGAAUUAACCAUUUGAAUGUUGGGAAAAGAUGGAUGAUUAGAUUUCAAGAAAUCAUUGAGAGUUCAUUGUAAGGGUGUGCUUUUGAAUCUGCUAUAUGGUGGAUUGAUG
RNAcentral lists this unclassified non-coding RNA (203 nucleotides) under Hevea brasiliensis (rubber tree). The record is from RNAcentral. Lineage: Eukaryota; Viridiplantae; Streptophyta; Magnoliopsida; Malpighiales; Euphorbiaceae.